AGUAGAUGUGUUUGUGUGUUUGUGUUUGUGUGUGCACACAAACACAAACACACAAACACACACACACACA
Molecule: small RNA, 70 nt
Filed under: Candidatus Protochlamydia amoebophila
Lineage: Bacteria; Pseudomonadati; Chlamydiota; Chlamydiia; Parachlamydiales; Parachlamydiaceae
Description: mraW
Source: RNAcentral